UUGAGUUCUGCUCAGUUCCUGCUUGGACGCCAGAUUAUCCGCCAAACUGGUAGACAGCAGCAGGUUGGCAUUUUGGUGAUUCCAAGCAACGCUUAUCUCGGUGUGGAACAAGUUGUGCUGCGUGAGCCACGAAAAUUUCCUACUGAAAGUGGCCUGCAGCCCCACGAAACGAUUUGAGAAGGCGAGUUCCCAAGUCUUAACCAGCCAUAGUUCAACAGACGCGCAAAAAGGAUGGGAACAGUUUCAUAAUUUGGUCUCGUCGCGCGAUUUAUUGGAGCUUGGAGGUCUUCACGACGACUAUAGUUCCGAGUUCCUAAUUGGACGCCAGAUUAUCCGUCAAACAUGUAGACAGCAGCAGGUGCAAAAACUUGCUUGGAAGUCAAAGAGUGUACAUCAUAUUGAGAAUCCUGGACAAAGAGACUACUUGCAGUCAUAUAUGUCAAGCAUAUUUCAGAUCUGAAAUGUAGUAAGUAGCAAUAGCUAACUUAAUAUUCUAGGAAGAAGAGUAAAAUUGUUGCGUUCUGAAAUUAUGUCAGAGAGUAGAGACAUUUCUUGAGUACUUGAUAGGAACUCAAGCAGACUUGAAUAAAUGGCGUUCAGAUAACUUUGUAUACAACAGAACAGGCCAUUGCUAAAUUAUCAAAACUCAAAGCAUGGAGGGUCGGCA
Triticum dicoccoides is the source of this 667-nucleotide long non-coding RNA. RefSeq lists it as uncharacterized. Lineage: Eukaryota; Viridiplantae; Streptophyta; Magnoliopsida; Poales; Poaceae. The record is from RefSeq and is a predicted model, not a curated record. The transcript has 5 exons.